RNAcentral lists this ribosomal RNA (516 nucleotides) under uncultured bacterium. RNAcentral's name for it is "bacterial SSU rRNA". It matches the Rfam family "Bacterial small subunit ribosomal RNA", at positions 29 to 518 of the family's 1533-position model. The record is from RNAcentral.
ACGAACGCUGGCGGCGUGCCUAAUACAUGCAAGUCGAACGGUCUUUCUAUGGAAGCUUGCUUCCACUGAGAAGAUAGUGGCGAACGGGUGAGUAACACGUGGGUAACCUGCCCAUAAGAGGGGGAUAACAUCCGGAAGCGGGUGCUAAUACCGCAUAGUUUUCUUGAUCGCAUGAUUGAGAAAGGAAAGACGGCCUUUGUGCUGUCGCCUAUGGAUGGACCCGCGGCGUAUUAGUUAGUUGGUGAGGUAACGGCUCACCAAGACGAUGAUACGUAGCCGACCUGAGAGGGUGAUCGGCCACAUUGGGACUGAGACACGGCCCAAACUCCUACGGGAGGCAGCAGUAGGGAAUCUUCCGCAAUGGACGAAAGUCUGACGGAGCAACGCCGCGUGAGUGAAAGAAGGUUUUCGGAUCGUAAAACUCUGUUGUCAGAGAAGAACAAGUUGGAGAGUAACUGCUCCAGCCUUGACGGUAUCUGACCAGAAAGCCACGGCUAACUACGUGCCAGCCGCCGC